Molecule: non-coding RNA, 82 nt
Organism: Gnomoniopsis sp. IMI 355080
Lineage: Eukaryota; Fungi; Ascomycota; Sordariomycetes; Diaporthales; Gnomoniaceae
Source: the annotation of a GenBank genome assembly
GCCCGCCUGGCGCAAUGGCUAGCGCGCGAGACUUCUACUACAAUUAAUCUCGAGGCUGCGGGUUCGAGUCCCGCGGUGGGUU